UGCUGUGGCAAAGCUGGUUCACAACAUACUUUUAAUCUAACACUGCAGUUCAUUUGUUUUUAAUUUCUUUUCUUUUUCUCCUUGUAGCUGCAGAAGCAGAAUAAGAAUUGCUUCAGUGGGAUGAAGAAAUUAUUUCAGUUUGGAAUCCAGCAAUAAAUGAAACAAAGUUGUUGUCAAACCACUGUAAGCAGCACAUAAAUAAAAGUCAAGCAAAGAAAUUGUGUUGGAUUGAGGAAAGGACUAGGACACCUGAAACAUCAUUGCCUAGAGCGGAACUCCUGGCAGCAUCCAGCCUUCACUGGAGGAAGCACAAGACUUUCGUGCUUUCAGAGUAAAUAUGUCAUGGAACUGAGAAACGUGGACAUGUACUCCUUGACAUAAGCUUGAAGAAGCUUAAUGAGCCUCCCAUCCCUCUUUGUCAGGAUGCACAAAAAAUGUUAGAAGUAAUUGAGAUACCUCCAAAGAGCUACAA
Molecule: long non-coding RNA, 472 nt
Filed under: Calidris pugnax (ruff)
Lineage: Eukaryota; Metazoa; Chordata; Aves; Charadriiformes; Scolopacidae
Description: lncRNA (ENSCPUG00000009104.1)
Source: RNAcentral